RNAcentral lists this ribosomal RNA (497 nucleotides) under uncultured bacterium. RNAcentral's name for it is "partial 16S ribosomal RNA". It matches the Rfam family "Bacterial small subunit ribosomal RNA", at positions 28 to 507 of the family's 1533-position model. The record is from RNAcentral.
GAUGAACGCUGGCGGCGUGCCUAAUACAUGCAAGUCGAGCGAACAGACGAGGAGCUUGCUCCUCUGACGUUAGCGUCGGACGGGUGAGUAACACGUGGAUAACCUACCUAUAAGACUGGGAUAACUUCGGGAAACCGGAGCUAAUACCGGAUAAUAUAUUGAACCGCAUGGUUCAAUAGUGAAAGACGGUUUUGCUGUCACUUAUAGAUGGAUCCGCGCCGCAUUAGCUAGUUGGUAAGGUAACGGCUUACCAAGGCAACGAUGCGUAGCCGACCUGAGAGGGUGAUCGGCCACACUGGAACUGAGACACGGUCCAGACUCCUACGGGAGGCAGCAGUAGGGAAUAUUCCGCAAUGGGCGAAAGCUUGACGGAGCAACGCCGCGUGAGUGAUGAAGGUCUUCGGAUCGUAAAACUCUGUUAUUAGGGAAGAACAAAUGUGUAAGUAACUAUGCACGUCUUGACGGUACCUAAUCAGAAAGCCACGGCUAACUACGUG